RNAcentral lists this long non-coding RNA (332 nucleotides) under Carica papaya (papaya). Its description in RNAcentral is "long non-coding RNA (CPAP_LNC011674)". The record is from RNAcentral. Lineage: Eukaryota; Viridiplantae; Streptophyta; Magnoliopsida; Brassicales; Caricaceae.
UUUGAAUCAACUCAGGUUGAACAGUCAGAUGAGCCAAGCAUAUAACUCUCUUUAGGUCUUGAAGUCGUACAUGUUGUGCGGCCUUUAUUACCCUGUAUUAUGAAACUAUUAGCUGGGCUAAUAUACCUGCACUUUUUUUGUUGAGUGCAUUGGCUACCACGUUGCCCUUAUCCGGGUGAUACAAGAUAUUAUAAUUGUAGUCCUUGAGGAGUUCUAUCUAUCCUCUUUGACGCAUGUUGAGAUAGAUUUGAGUAAAUAUGUGUUUCAAGUUCUUAUGAUCGGUAUAGAUCUAAAAAGCUUCCCCAUAUAACUAAUGGCGUCAAGUCUUCAAG